This 746-nucleotide ribosomal RNA is filed under the name uncultured delta proteobacterium. Its description in RNAcentral is "bacterial SSU rRNA". It matches the Rfam family "Bacterial small subunit ribosomal RNA", at positions 66 to 830 of the family's 1533-position model. The record is from RNAcentral. Lineage: Bacteria; Deltaproteobacteria.
GCGAAAGUAUCCUUCGGGGUGCGAGUAGAGUGGCGCACGGGUGAGUAACACGUAGACAACCUGCCUUCCAGUUCGGGAUGACCCUUUGAAAGAGGGGCUAAUACCGGAUAACACGCUUCAUCGCAUGGUGGAGCGUUGAAAGGCUUGCUGCUGGAAGAGGGGUCUGCGGGACAUUAGCUUGUUGGUGGGGUAACGGCCUACCAAGGCUGUGAUGUCUAGCGGGUCUGAGAGGAUGAUCCGCCACACUGGAACUGGGACACGGUCCAGACUCCUACGGGAGGCAGCAGUGGGGAAUUUUGCGCAAUGGGCGAAAGCCUGACGCAGCAACGCCGCGUGAGUGAAGAAGGCCCUUGGGUCGUAAAGCUCUUUUCUGAGGGAAGAGCAAAGACGGUACCUCAGGAAUAAGCACCGGCUAACUCCGUGCCAGCAGCCGCGGUAAUACGGAGGGUGCAAGCGUUGUUCGGAUUUACUGGGCGUAAAGGGCGUGUAGGCGGAUAUGCAAGCUGGAGGUGAAAGCCCCGGGCUCAACCCGGGAACUGCUUUGUAGAACUGCAUGUCUAGAGAAAGUCAGAGGCAGGUGGAAUUCCAGGUGUAGAGGUGAAAUUCGUAGAGAUCUGGAGGAACACCGGCGGCGAAGGCGGCCUGCUGGGGCUUUUCUGACGCUGAGGCGCGAAAGCGUGGGGAGCAACAGGAUUAGAUACCCUGGUAGUCCACGCUGUAAACGAUGAGCACUCGAUGUGCGAGGU